GACGAACGCUGGCGGCGUGCUUAACACAUGCAAGUCGAACGGAAAGGCCCUGCUUUUGUGGGGUGCUCGAGUGGCGAACGGGUGAGUAACACGUGAGUAACCUGUCCUUGAAUUUGGGAUAACUUCAGGAAACUGGGGCUCAUACCGGAUAGGAGCUCCUGCUGCGUGGUGGGGGUUGGAAAGUUUCGGCGGUUGGGGAUGGUCUAGCAGCUUAUCAGCUUGUUGGUGGGGUAGUGACUUACAAAGGCUUUGACGGGUAGCCGGCCUGGGAGCGUGACCGGCCACAAGGCGACUGCGAUACGCCGCAGACGCCAACGGGAGGCAGCAGUGGGAAAUAUUGCACAAUGGGCGGAAGCCAGAGGCAGCAACGCCGCGUGCGGGAUGACGUCCUUCGGGUUGUAAACCGCUUUCUCCGGUGACGAAGCGAGAUUGACGGUAAUGGGUAAAGAAGCAACGGCUAACUACGUG
Molecule: ribosomal RNA, 468 nt
Filed under: uncultured bacterium
Lineage: Bacteria
Description: partial 16S ribosomal RNA
Rfam family: Bacterial small subunit ribosomal RNA
Source: RNAcentral